GACGAACGCUGGCGGCGUGCUUAACACAUGCAAGUCGAACGGAAAGGCCCUGCUUUUGUGGGGUGCUCGAGUGGCGAACGGGUGAGUAACACGUGAGUAACCUGCCCUUGACUUUGGGAUAACUUCAGGAAACUGGGGCUAAUACCGGAUAGGAGCUCCUGCUGCAUGGUGGGGGUUGGAAAGUUUCGGCGGUUGGGGAUGGACUCGCGGCUUAUCAGCUUGUUGGUGGGGUAGUGGCUUACCAAGGCUUUGACGGGUAGCCGGCCUGAGAGGGUGACCGGCCACAUUGGGACUGAGAUACGGCCCAGACUCCUACGGGAGGCAGCAGUGGGGAAUAUUGCACAAUGGGCGGAAGCCUGAUGCAGCAACGCCGCGUGCGGGAUGACGGCCUUCGGGUUGUAAACCGCUUUCGCCUGUGACGAAGCGUGAGUGACGGUAAUGUGUAAAGAAGAACCGGCUAACUACGUG
Molecule: ribosomal RNA, 468 nt
Filed under: uncultured bacterium
Lineage: Bacteria
Description: partial 16S ribosomal RNA
Rfam family: Bacterial small subunit ribosomal RNA
Source: RNAcentral